Molecule: non-coding RNA, 4230 nt
Organism: Callithrix jacchus (white-tufted-ear marmoset)
Lineage: Eukaryota; Metazoa; Chordata; Mammalia; Primates; Cebidae
Source: RefSeq, a predicted model, not a curated record
CCGAGACUCGUUACAGUUUCCACACAGGCGCCGACAGGCAGAAGCAGUUUGGAAAUGCAAAAUAAAUUCCCCAAAGCUAAAAGCCAAAAAAAUAAAAAAAUAAAAAAGAACACAAGUCAAAAGGGAUUGGCAUCGUUUUUGAUAAUGUAUUUCAAAAAAUUUUGUUCGGGUGUUAUGUUUUCCGAUAAGGUUGUGUCGAAAGUGUGCAACACGAUGCUAAGACGAUUUUUGUCUGCUUAGUUUGAAAGAACUUGCGCCGCGGGGGAAGACCUAGACACGUGCGUGUGUUUUCGCUUAUGCGUCAGUGUUUCGGAGAUUGUUUGUACAGUUUGCUCUUGGAAACCGUGCUCAAGGAUCCAUGACCAUGAAUGUCGGGUCUUUGUGCUACUCCAAAGCAGGAAACUCGCUUCGUGUACUGUAACAUCUUUUGCAACCAGAACCAGCCUGACACGUGAUAAAAGCCAUCCAAUGGCCUCAAGACCAUAUUUAAUGGUUACAAAGUUCAAAGAAGUCAAGCCUAAGUAAUCUGUUACAGGAAAACACUGAAAACAUCUAAAUAUCUAAAGUAUAUAUGAAAUCUUUGGAUUCUAUUAGUUUGGAAUAAAGAAGGUAGGAGUGACAAAUUAAUGCUUCAAUAUGUAAAGAAAUUUGAGAAAUAGCAACAUUAGCUUAGAGAGCUGGAGAACAGAAGCUUCCAUAGUUGGAAGCUAAUAUUAGGCCCUCAUACUAUAAUUUAAGUCACAAUGUUUGACAGAAAAUACCUGUAAGGUUUUCAUUCUUGUGUGUCCUUAUGAUACUUUUGCAAUAGAUGUAAAUAUAUCAAAUGUUUCCAGAAUUCCUCAUCGUUGUUGAGGAAAUAUGGAAGGUGAAAUUCUAGCUUUUUUUCAAAUGAAACAACUGGAUGAACCUUCAGUCGGGAUCAAAUAUUGAGAAUAUAAUGGUGAUGCAAGACAUGGUCAGAAGUCUUCUAAAUAGCAGAGGUCAGGAAAAGACUGAGGCUUUACCUAAUGGUAAGUAUUAAAGGAGAAUAUGGCAUGAAGUCUUCUUUUGCUUAUCCAGAUAUUUGAGAGUAUAGAGCAAAGCUUGAAUUGAACCAAAAAAGAGUGAAGUAAGUGGAUUCCUUUGCUUGGUCUAAUAAUAUUAUGACAUUCUUGUAUUCAAUUAUCUUGACAUUUAUAUGAUGAUCCAUUCAUAUAUUUAACCAUACAAUUAAUUCAUUGAAUAAUUGGUUAAUUAAAUAUUAUAGCUCAGAGAAGAGGGCCAGUGAAGCCAUUUGUUUUGGGCUAGUUUUAAAAAGAAGUGCUUUGAGUGACUACAAUUUGACUUAGUUUUUCCUGAGGUUAAAAGUUGAUUCCUGUUUAAGAUUAUUUGUUGAUACUGAUUCAGUAACAGCUAAAUCAUUAAAAUGAUACUCUAAAUAUCAUCUUACAUACCUUCAAAAUAAAUGUGAAAAACUGCAAGUGUAUUUUGGUAGUCACUUGCCCUGCAGAAUAACAUGAGCUAGACCGUGGCAGGAGGCAGCAGGAAGGAGAAACAUAUGUGCUGUGAAUGUCUGGGAUAUGACUAAGGUUCUGACAUGCUCUAGAAUCUUGGUAGAAUGAGCUCUGUGCCAAAACACUUUAGGAUAGUGCCUCUUUCAAAAAAUGUAACAUCUUUGCAGUAAGAAAAGUUUUCAAAUGAUGUUAAAAGAAGCUAAGAGAAGAACUUUCACAUGGUAUUGGUUGAGCUCAGCAAUGUCUUGCUGUCCAGACAGAAUCCAGUGAGAAUCCAGCUCUUGGAUGAUUCCUCUUCCUCCCAUACAGUCAAAAUACACUGCCCGUAAUCCAAGGUAAAAUUCGAUUUCCAGAGAGAGUCCUCCCAACAAAAUCGCGCUAAAUUCAGCCUGACUCUUUCAGUAAUAGUAACAGCUGUUGCUUACUGAGGAUGCCUUACCUGCCAGGCUCUGUAUUAAGUAUACUUUACACAUACUGUACAUCAUUUAAUCCUCACCACAAUCCAAAAUAAAGCAAUCUUCUUAUAUUUAAAAUCAUGUGGUAAAAUCUUAAAUUGAUGCAUUACACACACCUCCAAAUAUAUUAUAGGAAGCCAGAGUCUAUGUUUUGUCCCCUUUUCUUUCCCCAGUACAUAGUGAGUGGCUCAUAAUUUGUGCCUAGAAAAUAUUUGUGGAAUUAAAUGAACUGUCGUUUCCUGUGCUUUCCCUGAGAAACAGGUUUUCAUCCAUCAUUUUGUUCUUUGAAAACCUAACUUCGAAGAUCCUAGAGGUGAAAAAGCAUUGGAAAUUUUUAACCUAAGAAAUGUGGAUUGACUUAUCUGUCUUCUUGGCUAGAUUUCAAUUUUCCAGCUGCCGAUUGGGCCUUGUCCACACUGCUCACUACCCUGAUGGCUCCAGGCAGACAAUUAUCACCUUGAAUCUGGGGCUCCAAGAAGUGGAGGAGAAUGCAGAUUCCCAGGGGCAUGUGUUGUGCCUCAGUGAUAACAAACUACUUCAUUGCCAAAGGACGUGCAUCUCUCUGUUGAGGAAAAAUCUCACCCAUUAUGUGUAGGGGUAGAACCUAAGGGAAAGUUUGUACUGUGACCACCCAUGUUUUGUUUGGCUCUAGUUAACACCAUUAUUUUUCUCCUUUCAUGUUUUAAAUGGGGUGAAAUUUGCAAGCAGAAAGGAAAACACAAACCCAAGAUCUUUUACUAUAUUUGUGUUUUGUGAAAAGUAAAUUGAAACCAAAUGAAUUCAAGUCUGAUAUUUUUCUUAAUAGACUAAACUAAAAAUGAGUGUGUUUCCCAGUUCCCCCAGUCGGAGCCUUGCUAUGAUUUUAGAUGCUCUCUCAGUGGGCUGUGAGUGACCUCUGGUCCUUAUCAGAGGAAAAGAAAUUCAUGCUAUUGUCUGACUAUCCUCUUGUUUUGCUUUCAUCUUGUAAACAAGUCCUUCUGACGUUAGGAGCCUGACGCAAAAUUAUGAAGCUAUGCAGGGACGAGUGGAAAGGCCUGUACAUGAGAAGCUACUAGAACUUUCUAAGUAUAAGUCAGACAGCCCACAUGUAGAGAUGGAACUUCCAGAAAAUAACCAGAAGGUGGUCCAAAUGCCCAACAUACACACAUCCAGGGUGUGUGUAUAUGUGCAAACAACACAACUUAAAGGAUGACUCAGUCGUGUUUUGGUAGUGACAGUAUGUCUGGGCCUCUCAAAUUUCAGAAUCAGCUGAUUUAAGAAAUUUAGAAAACAGUCAUAUUUUCUCUUGAGAUUUUGGUAAAGCUGUGGUAAAAAUGGAAAAAAGGCAGCCAAAAUAGUUUGGCAGAAUUAGGAAUAUUCUUUCAGAUACUUCGUCACUUCUGCCUGAUAAAUGACGAAGAUGACAUUUGAAGCCUUCUCUAACAGUGAGGAGGUGGUGAGAAACUUGCUGCUUGUCUAAAAGGUACCAAGUGGGGCCAGAAAAGCCUGAGGGUGCAUGUCUAUGCUGUGAGAGAGUGAGCCCGUGACUCCCGGCGGAGUGGUUCGUCUGUCUGUGCCCGUCCUUCUUCUGUGAUCACCAGCUGUGGAACCUGGAGCACAUCAUUUCACCCUAGUUCCUUUUUUUUCUUCUAAAAAAAAAAACAACCAGGAUACACGUGCAGAACGUGCAGGUUUGUUCCAUAGGUAUACGUGCAUUUGAUGCUAUUUCAUGCUCCACAUCUAUGAAAAUAAAGGAGUUUACACAGUGAUCUCUGAGCUUCCCUGUGCCCCCGUAUCUUGAGCUAGCAUCUUGGUUCUCAGAGCAGCAGUUUCUGUAUCACUUGGGAGUUAGUUAGAAAUGCAGAGUCUCAGGCCUCAGUCCACAUGGACUGCGUUGGAGUCUGGCUUUUCAUGACAUUCCUAGAUGACUCAUGUGCACAUUAGCACUGGGGAGGCGCUGCUCUCUAACCUUGUUUCUCACUCAUCUAAUUACUUCAUCAAAAGUCAGGAAUUUCAACACACUUCCUGAGUGGGACUCUGUACGAAUUGUGACUAGACUGUUUAAUCUGUAAUUAAAAUGUUAACAAAUAAUGUAUGUGUAAGAGAGUGUGUGUAUGUGAGGUGGGGGAAAGAGAAAGAAGAUAGCGAUAUUUAUUCAGAAUGGAAAAUUUGCUUGAUUCUUAAAAUACUGAUUAAAAUUUUUUAGCUCUUUUUUCUCCCUUAGAAUGGAAAAUUAACUAUGUUUUUGGUUAGAAUGGAGAAAGCCCUGUGCUUAGGGGGCAAAUGUAUUUGAGAAAGUAGAA